ACCCAGGGCCUGCUCAUGCUUUCCUUUCUCUUGAGAGAACUGAAAUGGACAGGACAAAUGACUGGCUCAAGGUCACACUGCAGCUGUGAAAGAAGAAGGGCUUGAGGACACAGAAGGGAACUAAAAAUCCUCCUCCAUCUCCAGGGCUGGACCUGUUACCUCCUGGCUUCUCCCUGUUCUUGGCUUGCGUCUUUCCCCCUCAUCACAGAGCACAGCAUGCUGAAGGGAGGCCAGCAGGACUUAAUUUGGUCAUGAAAUUUCUAAGUUUACUCAUUCAUAAUCUCAUGGUGUAAUGGAAAUAAAGGCCCCAGACUCAGACUAUCUGGUUUCUGGCCCUAAUUGCCAAAAGCCCUCUGUGGGAUUAGGCUUUCUGGCUUCAGUUUCUUUGUAAUUUGUUUUGUAAUAGCAACAUUAUUAGACUAGAUUAUGGGUCUUUUGCCACAUACCUAAACUGAUUGCCCAUGUAAAAGCCUUUUUAGAAACUUGCAUUUCAGAUACUUAUUUUUUUUCUUUCUUCUUAUUUUGUUUUAUUUUUUUGGAAACAGUUCUCGUUCUGUUACCUAGGCUGGAGUGCAGUGGCACAAUCACAGCUCACUGCAGCCUGGACCUCCCAGACUGAAGUGAUCCUCCUGCUUCUGCCUCCUGAAGAGCUGGGACUACAGGCGUGCGCCACUAUGCCCAGCUAUUUUUUUUUUUUUUUGUAGAGAUGGAGUUUCUACAUGAAACCCCCAUCAACAUGAAAACCAUGUUGCCCAGGCUGGGCUCAAACUCCUGGACUCAAGCGAUCCACCUUCUUCAGCCUCCCAAACAGAUGGGAUUACAUGAGCGAGCCACUGCGCCGGGCCUCAGCUACUUAUAUUAGGGUUCUACAGAGUAUGGCACAUGCUUCCCAGAAGCAUUAUGAAAGUAAAUAUGUGGAUUGACAGUGGCACCCUCCCUUUAUCCAGAUGUCACCUGGCUUUGUGUGGUGGUUGUACCGUACACGGAGGCACCCGAGGGAAGAGUGGGAGUUCCAGAAAAGCAAAAUACUCUGUGGUGUACCUGCACCACAUUUUACCCAUUCACUCUCCCAGUGAUGCCAUCUCCUUGCCACCACCAUGCUGCAAUGAUCCACCAUGUACAUUUCCCUCUUCAGCCUGCCUGGGAAUGUUUCCAGGAUAUGUGCUCAUCAGUGGAAUUUCUGAGUCAGAGGGCACCUGCAUACUUAAUUUGGUUAUGUAAUGCUAGAAGUCUCUCCAAAAUAAAUGCUG
RNAcentral lists this long non-coding RNA (1250 nucleotides) under Homo sapiens (human). RNAcentral describes it as "HSALNT0072067". The record is from RNAcentral. Lineage: Eukaryota; Metazoa; Chordata; Mammalia; Primates; Hominidae.